RNAcentral lists this ribosomal RNA (638 nucleotides) under Pseudoalteromonas sp. V4.ME.24. Its description in RNAcentral is "bacterial SSU rRNA". It matches the Rfam family "Bacterial small subunit ribosomal RNA", at positions 420 to 1051 of the family's 1533-position model. Lineage: Bacteria; Pseudomonadati; Pseudomonadota; Gammaproteobacteria; Alteromonadales; Pseudoalteromonadaceae. The record is from RNAcentral.
GGGUUGUAAAGCACUUUCAGUCAGGAGGAAAGGUUAGUAGUUAAUACUUGCUAGCUGUGACGUUACUGACAGAAGAAGCACCGGCUAACUCCGUGCCAGCAGCCGCGGUAAUACGGAGGGUGCGAGCGUUAAUCGGAAUUACUGGGCGUAAAGCGUACGCAGGCGGUUUGUUAAGCGAGAUGUGAAAGCCCCGGGCUCAACCUGGGAACUGCAUUUCGAACUGGCAAACUAGAGUGUGAUAGAGGGUGGUAGAAUUUCAGGUGUAGCGGUGAAAUGCGUAGAGAUCUGAAGGAAUACCGAUGGCGAAGGCAGCCACCUGGGUCAACACUGACGCUCAUGUACGAAAGCGUGGGGAGCAAACAGGAUUAGAUACCCUGGUAGUCCACGCCGUAAACGAUGUCUACUAGAAGCUCGGAACCUCGGUUCUGUUUUUCAAAGCUAACGCAUUAAGUAGACCGCCUGGGGAGUACGGCCGCAAGGUUAAAACUCAAAUGAAUUGACGGGGGCCCGCACAAGCGGUGGAGCAUGUGGUUUAAUUCGAUGCAACGCGAAGAACCUUACCUACACUUGACAUACAGAGAACUUACCAGAGAUGGUUUGGUGCCUUCGGGAAUUCUGAUACAGGUGCUGCAUGGCUG